Molecule: ribosomal RNA, 721 nt
Filed under: Streptomyces sp.
Lineage: Bacteria; Bacillati; Actinomycetota; Actinomycetes; Kitasatosporales; Streptomycetaceae
Description: bacterial SSU rRNA
Rfam family: Bacterial small subunit ribosomal RNA
Source: RNAcentral
CGGCCCAGACUCCUACGGGAGGCAGCAGUGGGGAAUAUUGCACAAUGGGCGAAAGCCUGAUGCAGCGACGCCGCGUGAGGGAUGACGGCCUUCGGGUUGUAAACCUCUUUCAGCAGGGAAGAAGCGAAAGUGACGGUACCUGCAGAAGAAGCGCCGGCUAACUACGUGCCAGCAGCCGCGGUAAUACGUAGGGCGCAAGCGUUGUCCGGAAUUAUUGGGCGUAAAGAGCUCGUAGGCGGCUUGUCACGUCGGAUGUGAAAGCCCGGGGCUUAACCCCGGGUCUGCAUUCGAUACGGGCUAGCUAGAGUGUGGUAGGGGAGAUCGGAAUUCCUGGUGUAGCGGUGAAAUGCGCAGAUAUCAGGAGGAACACCGGUGGCGAAGGCGGAUCUCUGGGCCAUUACUGACGCUGAGGAGCGAAAGCGUGGGGAGCGAACAGGAUUAGAUACCCUGGUAGUCCACGCCGUAAACGUUGGGAACUAGGUGUUGGCGACAUUCCACGUCGUCGGUGCCGCAGCUAACGCAUUAAGUUCCCCGCCUGGGGAGUACGGCCGCAAGGCUAAAACUCAAAGGAAUUGACGGGGGCCCGCACAAGCAGCGGAGCAUGUGGCUUAAUUCGACGCAACGCGAAGAACCUUACCAAGGCUUGACAUAUACCGGAAAGCAUCAGAGAUGGUGCCCCCCUUGUGGUCGGUAUACAGGUGGUGCAUGGCUGUCGUCAGCU